This is a non-coding RNA of Stegodyphus mimosarum, 73 nucleotides long. The record is from Rfam. NCBI's taxonomy places the organism in Eukaryota, Metazoa, Arthropoda, Arachnida, Araneae, Eresidae.
GCCUUCGUGGUGUAGUGGUCUGCAUGCUCGGCGCUUAACCGAGAGGUCCGUGGUUCGAUUCCCGGCGAAGGCG